CUGGGCGUAAGCGUGCGCAGGCGGUUUUGUAAGACAGGCGUGAAAUCCCCGGGCUCAACCUGGGAACUGCGCUUGUGACUGCAAGGCUAGAGUACGGCAGAGGGGGGUGGAAUUCCACGUGUAGCAGUGAAAUGCGUAGAGAUGUGGAGGAACACCAAUGGCGAAGGCAGCCCCCUGGGUCGAUACUGACGCUCAUGCACGAAAGCGUGGGUAGCAAACAGGAUUAGAUACCUUGGUAGUCCACGCCCUAAACGAUGUCAACUAGGUGUUGGGUGGGUAAAACCAUUUAGUACCGGAGCUAACGCGUGAAGUUGACCGCCUGGGGAGUACGGCCGCAAGGUUAAAACUCAAAGGAAUUGACGGGGACCCGCACAAGCGGUGGAUGAUGUGGAUUAAUUCGAUGCAACGCGAAAAACCUUACCUACCCUUGACAUGUCCAGAACCCCUGAGAGAUUGGGGGGUGCCCGAAAGGGAGCUGGAACACAGGUGCUGCAUGGCUGUCGUCAGCUCGUGUCGUGAGAUGUUGGGUUAAGUCCCGCAACGAGCGCAACCCUUGUCGUUAAUUGCCAUCAUUUAGUUGGGCACUUUAACGAGACUGCCGGUGACAAACCGGAGGAAGGUGGGGAUGACGUCAAGUCCUCAUGGCCCUUAUGGGUAGGGCUUCACACGUCAUACAAUGGUCGG
RNAcentral lists this ribosomal RNA (684 nucleotides) under uncultured bacterium. RNAcentral describes it as "bacterial SSU rRNA". It matches the Rfam family "Bacterial small subunit ribosomal RNA", at positions 554 to 1237 of the family's 1533-position model. The record is from RNAcentral.